GCUGCAGCACCCAGGGAUGAGCGUGAUGUGGCCUGGCCCCGGGGGUGGCUGCCAGGUCAGGAGGCCAUGGCACUGUGUUCAGCCAACAGGGAGCCCAGGGGCUGCACCCAAGGCUGGCUCCCUAUCUCGAAACACACUAUGUUGUCAGGGAAAGAGGCUCGGAGGGCCUUGAAGGUGUCGAAUUGAACCCACAUUUCCCACAGAACUUUGAAACAUCUGUCAACAGACAUGUGACCAUGCCAACCAAGGUGCAGAGGUUUUCACAAUGCAAUACAAAGCUCCGUUACAAACAUGCAACCUAGUAUUUGGAAACUGACACCUCUCUUAACACAGGAAGAAAUUCUCAUGAAAAAGAGAGUGUGAUCCCGAAAAAGGAGACAGAUCAACAAAGGAUAUACAAUGAUACGCAUGGAAGACUCCAAAGACAAGAACUUAGGUACAAUCUAUGAAGUAAAAUCAGUUGUUUAUGCAGUAUCAUUGCCAUGAAUCAACACUUAUUUAUUUAUUAUGACCGCACUCGUGACACAUCCACAGCGACCUGAGCCACUGCAGUCAGAUGUAACCCACUUCACCACAGCAGGAACUACACACAUUUUAAACAUAUUCAAAUAUUUCGUGUUUGGCAAUAAAGUCCUUUUAAUUUCGUU
Molecule: long non-coding RNA, 647 nt
Filed under: Sus scrofa (pig)
Lineage: Eukaryota; Metazoa; Chordata; Mammalia; Artiodactyla; Suidae
Description: lncRNA (ENSSSCG00040056869.1)
Source: RNAcentral